Molecule: ribosomal RNA, 509 nt
Filed under: uncultured crenarchaeote
Lineage: Archaea; Thermoproteati; Thermoproteota
Description: bacterial SSU rRNA
Rfam family: Archaeal small subunit ribosomal RNA
Source: RNAcentral
GGGGUGCAGCAGGCGCGAAACCUUAGCAAUGUGCGAAAGCACGACUGGGUCAGUCCGAGUGAUUCCUGAUAAAGGAGUCUUUUGCCUGUCCUAAAAGCACAGGUGAAUAAGGGGUGGGCAAGUCUGGUGUCAGCCGCCGCGGUAAUACCAGCACCUCGAGUGGUCAGGACGUUUAUUGGGCCUAAAGCAUCCGUAGCCGGCUNUGCAAGUCUUCGGUUAAAUCCACCUGCUCAACAGAUGGGCCGCUGGAGAUACUACAGAGCUAGGGAGUGGGAGAGGCAGACGGUAUUCAGUGGGUAGGGGUAAAAUCCUCUGAUCCAUUGAGGACCACCAGUGGCGAAGGCGGUCUGCCAGAACACGUUCGACGGUGAGGGAUGAAAGCUGGGGGAGCAAACCGGAUUAGAUACCCGGGUAGUCCCAGCUGUAAACGAUGCAAACUCGGUGAUGCAUUGGCUUAUGGCCAAUGCAGUGCCGCAGGGAAGCCGUUAAGUUUGCCGCCUGGAAGUACG